UAGGGAAUCUUCCACAAUGGGCGCAAGCCUGAUGGAGCAACACCGCGUGAGUGAAGAAGGGUUUCGGCUCGUAAAGCUCUGUUGUUAAAGAAGAACACGUAUGAGAGUAACUGUUCAUACGUUGACGGUAUUUAACCAGAAAGUCACGGCUAACUACGUGCUAG
This 164-nucleotide ribosomal RNA is filed under the name uncultured bacterium. Its description in RNAcentral is "partial 16S ribosomal RNA". It matches the Rfam family "Bacterial small subunit ribosomal RNA", at positions 355 to 511 of the family's 1533-position model. The record is from RNAcentral.